RNAcentral lists this ribosomal RNA (456 nucleotides) under Acinetobacter baumannii 984213. Its description in RNAcentral is "partial 16S ribosomal RNA". The record is from RNAcentral. Lineage: Bacteria; Pseudomonadati; Pseudomonadota; Gammaproteobacteria; Moraxellales; Moraxellaceae.
UAAAGUAAAUAACGAUGGUAGUUUUACUAUUAAACCACUAAUAAAAGAAUACUUUUUCAUUGAACCUAGUUUGGAGGAUUAUAAAAACCUCCCACCAUUAAUUUAUAUUAGCUUUAAAAAUUAUCAAAAUAAAACAUUAGAUUACUCAGAAAAGUUUAAUGAACAAGUUCCAGAAGAAAAAGCUAAUUUUGAACAUUAUAAAAAAAUUGAUCUAGGUAAAGUUUACUUAGAUCCUGAGUAAAAGUUUUACUCAGUCAUAUAACUCAAUCCUAAAAGCCCUUCUUUAAGAGCUUUUUAUUUAGCUUGCAUUAUUUCCAUUUUUAUUUAUGAUUGAGUAAUCACUCAAUUAUUUUAUUUGUAUAUGGCUCGUCCUCGUAGUGAAGAUAAACGUAAUGCAAUUUUAAGCGCUGCUAUCGAAACAUUGGCAGAGCUUGGCGAGCGUGCGUCUACCUCAAA